RNAcentral lists this unclassified non-coding RNA (266 nucleotides) under Hevea brasiliensis (rubber tree). The record is from RNAcentral. Lineage: Eukaryota; Viridiplantae; Streptophyta; Magnoliopsida; Malpighiales; Euphorbiaceae.
UUUUGUGAAGCCUCUUGUUCCAGAUCUGGUAUUCCUCCAUCAUCGUUUUGGUUACCUUGCACGCUUUUCUCUCGCUCCUCCUCCAAUCUCUUGACCUUUAGCUGCAGAGAAAGGAUGGAGACAUCGUAUCGCUGAACCUCUUGUUUGAGCUCAGCUACACGAAGCUUUCUCAGCUCUUCAAGCCAAGGAAUGUUAGCGACCUUAUCACCACUGUUAUUAUCAUUAUUAUUAUUAUUGUUAUUAUUUUCUUGUAUAUCAUGUUCGUU